GGGACCCACGUGUGUUUUGCUUGACACUUUAUCUUUGGUUUCUAGCCAGGGAAGGGCUGGCUCAUAUGUAGGCGCUCAAGAAAUUCCUGGAGUCAGUUCGUAUCUGUGUAGGGGGAGGGUGUUGCUGGCUGAGACGCUCAUAUUCAGAUUUGGACUGUGGAAGGCCUGGGGAGGACACGCAAGUCUGACUGAAUUUGGCACAUUAGCUUUUCUCACAGCAGCCCCAUUCUGUUUUGGGCUCCCCGUGUUUCCUAAACGUUCUGUUCCCCAUUGACUGUUGCUGCCGCUCUCCCUAGGUUCCCAAAGGUGGGGGCCUACCCAUGACCACUGAAGUUCUCAAGAGCUUAGCAGCUCCUCCAGCCCUGGAGAAGAAGCCACAGGUGGCCUAUAAGACGGAGAUCAUUGGAGGGGUGGUGGUCCACACACCCAUCAGCCAGAACGGUGGGGAUGCGCAGGAAGGGAGUGAGCCUGGGUCCCACACCAUCCUUCGAAGGUCUCAGAGUUACAUCCCCACAUCAGGCUGCCGUGCUUCCACCGGGCCUCCCCUCAUUAAGAGUGGUUACUGCGUGAAGCAAGGGAAUGUGGUGA
Molecule: small RNA, 588 nt
Filed under: Pongo abelii (Sumatran orangutan)
Lineage: Eukaryota; Metazoa; Chordata; Mammalia; Primates; Hominidae
Description: retained intron
Source: RNAcentral